Molecule: long non-coding RNA, 550 nt
Organism: Dromaius novaehollandiae (emu)
Lineage: Eukaryota; Metazoa; Chordata; Aves; Casuariiformes; Dromaiidae
Source: Ensembl
GCGGCACCAUUUGCUCUGCGACUUGGCAUUAAUGAGACACCUAUUGGAAUUCUGCACGCUCCUUAAAGACCUUCUGUGCGGAAAAUCGUUACGUUUACCUUAAUCCUUUGCAAGUGGAAAACCAAACUGGAAUCUUCCCCUCUGUACUGAUUUUUGGGCUUCCUACGGAGCUUUUGGAGCUGUGCAAGUCAUGCUACUUUCAGGACAGAGGUGCUGAGAGGUAGAGAGCUACUGCAAGUGAUACGCGAACGGGAGAGUCGCGUGCACGAAGGGGAGUUCAGUGUCACAGUUUCAACAGGAAUAAAAGGAACAAGGCUCACGUUUACACAAAACCACCCCAGCCAUCACUCCAGGCAGUAUAAGAGAGGUGUCAGCAGCCAAAGGCGCGCCUGGAGGGACCGGGACAGGCAGAAGAGCUGCUGGCUAGGUGAGCUGUCCGGCCGUGCCUUUCAGGCCAACGCUGUCUGCUUCGUGCUGCCGGCACGGCUGCGGGGAGCUGGGGAAGCUGCGGCCCCCAUGGAGCGGGGCAGUCCUCCUCAGCGUGCACCCG